GACGAACGCUGGCGGCGUGCCUAAUACAUGCAAGUAGAACGCACAGUUUAUACCGUUGCUUGCUUCACCAUAGACUGUGAGUUGCGAAUGGGUGAGUAACGCGCUGGUUACCUGCCUGGUAGCAGUUGAUAACAACGGAAAACGUUAGCUAUUACCUCAUAAUAUUGAUUAUUCCAUGAUAAUUGAUUGAAUGAUGCUAUUGCAUCACUACCUCAUGGCUCUGCGUUGUAUUAGGUAGUAGGGGAGGUAACGAGUCACCUAGGCGACGAUAGAUAGCCGACCCGGGAAGGGGAACCGCCACACCGGGACUGGGACACGGCCCAGACUCCUACGGGAGGCAGCAAUAGGGAAACUUCGGGAAUGGACGGAAGUCUUACCGGGCCACGCCGGGGGGGUGGAUGAGGGUUUCGGGUCGGAAAGCUCUGUUUUAAGGGAAGGACGGGUGUGGGAGUGGAAAGUGCACACUGUGACGGUAUCUUAUCAGAAAGGGACGGCUAACUACGUG
This 505-nucleotide ribosomal RNA is filed under the name uncultured bacterium. RNAcentral describes it as "partial 16S ribosomal RNA". It matches the Rfam family "Bacterial small subunit ribosomal RNA", at positions 28 to 507 of the family's 1533-position model. The record is from RNAcentral.